CUGCCCAUCUCAACUUCACAGCAACCUGAAGGCUGACAUUCUCUGAACAAAAUCCAGUCCCCAGACUAUACCAAGCACACAGCACACGGGGGAAAUGAGCCUGCUGGGACAUUAUUAUUAUUUAUGCUGUAAAAGGAUGAAUUAAACAUUCUUCUAAUUAACCUUAACUAACCUUUGCUCACACAGCCUGAUGGGGAUUCCAGGCUUGAAAUAGUGCUUGUGUUUUGCUAAACCAGAAAAGUUUGUGCCUUCUUUCUUUGUCUGCAGCGCCCACUCCUCCUUCUAGUUUCAAUCUACAUGAUAUACCCUUCCCCCCUCUCCACCAAAGGGCACCAAAAAGCCAGAGAACAAGCCAACCAGCAGCAGCAACUAAAGGUAAAAGCCAUGAGAACAGCCAGAUCAAGUAAGAAUAUUCCUUAAUAAGGUACACUGCAGUGCUGAAUAACAGUGGCCAUUAAGGAGUCCUGUUUGUAAGUCUACACUAAAGCUGCUGUGUGGUUUCUACAAAUCUGCACCCAACAGUCUACAAGCAAAGAACUGACCAGGAAAAAUGACAACUGGAGAAGCAGGAGAACUCUUCAAUUAUGCAGAAAGUGGAACCAGUGUCCUUGGAAUGUUUAACAUAACCAUGGAGAAUAUAGCAGUAAAUGCAACUGAUGAACCUAUAGAUUUUAGAGGGCCCCUACCUAUUAUUAUAUCCCUUGUGUGCAUCUUUCUCCUCCUAGCUACCUGUCUUGUUUUCAUGACACUCUGCAAACCUGCAGCACUAGACCAGACUCUUUAUGGUCCACAUGAAUGCAUGCCUUAUCAUGCAGAAGAUGCUAGUGAACCACAGCUAAGGCUUUGGAAAAGGUUGGGAUCAUUGAGACGUUCGGUCAGUAGCUUCAGAAGGAGUCGACCUAUUACUCAGCUGCAGAGAACUUGUCCAAGACCAAUGCCAACAAACCAAGACUGGUCCUUUAUGGAGUCCACAAAAAUGUGAACUGUUGAUGUUAAAAGUAAGGUACUCUAGGUUUAAAAACAUAUAUUUGGAUGAAAAAAUGACUCCUCGAUUCUCUGAGAUCUGGUUAAUUUUGGGAGCUCAAAUCUCUGACCGACUUCUGUUCCCUAUACAUUCUACUCAGCCUUCUAUGCAUAGUAACACAAAUGAAAUCAUCUGACUGUUUGAACAUGACUGUGUUCAAUUCUUCCAUUGCUUUCUUUUAAGAAUAAUUGUAAUUGGCUUUAUAGAUAUCUUUCAAUGAAAUUAAAAUAACAGAACAUGUCACUAUCACAGUGGAUACUGAAUAUACAGCACCAUCUACUCAAUAGAGUUCACACAUUAUAGGACACAUUCACCUACUGAGGCACAGAGAGCAAAGUUCAAUUAUAAAAAACAAAAAACCAAAUGUGGAACUGAAAUAACCCAUAAGCCCAAUCAACAGGGCUGUAUGAAAAAUUGUAUAAUCACAUCCAGGACAUGCCUGUACCUGGAUGGGGCUAAACCUGUUCUCAACCAUGCUUACAGACUCUCUCUCUCUCUCUCUCUCUCUCUCUCUAUAUAUAUAUAUAUAUAUAAAAGGCCAUAAACUAUAGAGGAAGGGGUAGUCCAAAAACUGAUAUUCUUUUUUAAAAGUUAUCGCUUGGUAAAGAUAAUCAAGUAUUCCAGCAUUUUCCAGAUAACUUUUCCCCUCUUGGUGACUUUACAUUACUGGUACGGGCCCUGUUAUCCACAAUGCUCUGGACCUUGGUUUUUUUUAUUAGAUAAGGGAUCAUUCCUUAAUUUGGA
Molecule: non-coding RNA, 1768 nt
Organism: Xenopus tropicalis (tropical clawed frog)
Lineage: Eukaryota; Metazoa; Chordata; Amphibia; Anura; Pipidae
Source: RefSeq, a predicted model, not a curated record